Mus pahari (shrew mouse) is the source of this 3193-nucleotide RNA transcript. It is a transcript of the gene named zinc finger protein 431-like, with no coding region annotated. The transcript is spliced from 4 exons. The record is from RefSeq and is a predicted model, not a curated record. Lineage: Eukaryota; Metazoa; Chordata; Mammalia; Rodentia; Muridae.
AGCUUUCCUGCCAGGUCCUGUAUGAAGCAGAGCAAUCCCGAGCUUUUCUGCUUGGCCCAUUCGGUGAAGUGGGGCAAUCCUGAAUAUUUCUGCUUGGCAUGUUCUGUGUGCCGCUGCGGGGUCCUGUGAGGAGAGCUCAGGCAAGCUUAGAAGUCCCGACAUGGGUGUUGUGACCUAUGAUGAUGUGCAUAUGAACUUCACUCAGGAAGAGUGGGCUUUGCUGGAUCCUUCUCAGAAGAGUCUCUACAGAGAGGUGAUGCUGGAGACCUAUAGGAAUCUCGCUGCUAUAGGCUACAGUUGGGAAGACCAUAAUGCUGAAGAACAUUUUCAAAGUUCUAGAAGACAUGGAAGGCAUGAAAGAAGUGAUACUGAAGAGAAACCCUCUGAAUUUACUCACUGUGGUAAAGUCUUUGCAUAUCAGAGCCACCCUCAAGAGCAUCAACGAAUUCAUACUGUUGAGAAACCCUAUGAAAUUAUUCAACAUUGUAAGGCCUUUGCAUAUCACAGUAAUGUCCAAAUACAUAAAAGAACACAUGGUGGGGACAAACGAUAUAAGUUUAACGAAUGUGGUAAAGCCUUUCCAUGUCACAAUUCUCUUCGAAGGCAUAAAAGAGUUCAUUCAAGUGAGAAAGCUUAUGAAUGUAAUCAAUGUGCUAAAGACUUUGCACAACAUAGUCAUCUUCAACGGCAUGCAAGAAUUCAUAUUGUUAAAUGUAGCCAACGUAGUAAAGACUUUGCAUGUUAUACUAAUCCCCAAAUACAUCAAAGAACCCAUACAGGAAAGAAACCUUAUCAAUGUAUGUUCUGUGAUAAAGCCUUUAUACAUCGCAGUCAUCUUGAAAGGCAUGAAAGAAUUCAUACUGGGGAGAAACCUUGUGAAUGUAAGCGAUGUGGUAAAGCCUUUGCUUGUCAAAGUGAUCUCCAACAGCAUAAAGGAACACAUACUGGAGAGAAAUCCUAUGAAUGUAACCAGUGUAAUAAAGCCUUUGGGCUUCGCUGUCAUCUUCAAAGGCAUCAAAGAAUUCAUACUGUAGAGAAACCCUAUGAACGUAAUCAAUGUGGGAAAUUCUUUGCACAAAACAAUCAUUUUCUACAACAAAAAAGAACACAUACUGAAAAGAAACCCUAUGAAUGUAAUCAAUGUGAUAAAGCCUUUGCAGGUCAAACUAGUCUCCUAUAUCAUAAAAGAACACAUACUGGAGAGAAACCAUAUGGAUGUAAUGAAUGUGGCAAAGCCUUUGUACUUCACAGUCAUCUUCAAAUACAUAAAAGAAUACAUACUGGAGAGAAACCCUAUGAAUGUAAGCAAUGUGGUAAAGCCUUUGCACGAAAGAGUAAUCUCCAAGUGCAUAAGCGAAUACAUACUGGAGAGAAACCCUAUGAAUGUAAACAAUGUGGUAAAGCCUUUGGUUGUCAAAGUAGCCUCCAAAAUCAUAAACGAACACAUACUGGAGAGAAACCCUAUGAAUGUAAGCAAUGUGGUAAAGCCUUUGUGUGUCAAAGUGGUCUUCAAAACCACAAACGAACACAUACUGGAGAGAAACCCUAUGAAUGCAAUCAAUGUGAUAAAGCCUUUAAAUGUCAAAGUGGUCUCCUGUAUCAUAAAAGAACACAUACUGGAGAGAAACCAUAUGGAUGUAAAGAAUGUGGUAAAGCAUUUAUACUUCACAGUCAUCUUCAAAUACAUAAAAGAUCACAUACUGGAGAGAAACCCUUUGAAUGUGACCAGUGUGGUAAAGCCUUUGCUCGAAACAGUUAUCUCAUAACACAUAAAAGAAUACAUACUGGACAGAAACCGUAUGGAUGCAAGCAAUGUGGCAAAGCCUUUGCAAAUUACGGUAAUCUCCAAGGGCAUAAAAGAAUACAUACUGGAGAGAAACCCUAUGAAUGUAAGGAGUGUGGUAAAGCUUUUGGGCGCCAGAGUGGUCUCCAAUAUCAUAAAAGAACACAACACAUACAGGAGGGAAACCCUAUGACUGUAAUCAAUGUGAUAUAGCCUUUGCAUGUCAGACAUCUUCAAAGCACUAAAGAAACAUUAUUGUAGAGAAACUCUGUGAGUAUAUUUAAUAUGGUGAAGCCUUUGUACAUUUCUAUAGUCUUCACCAUCAUGAAAGAAACCCACACUGAGAGAAACUAAGAAUGUACUACAUCGGAUCAAGCCUUUUAACGUUUCACAAGUCUUCCUCAUCAUGAAAGGAUUCAUACUGGGCAAAACUUGAAUAUAUUUAAUAUGGUGAAACAUUUGAACAUUUCUGCCAUCUUCAUCAUCAUGAAAGUAUUCCUACUGGAGAGAAACUCUGACUAUAAUAGAUUUGUGAUAUGUAUAGCUGUCAUACUACCAUUCAGUUACACAAGAUCAUUUUUCUAGAGAAAAAAAUGUGACAAGUGUCAACAGUCUAUUCAAGCAUUAUGAUGUGAUAUGCCUCUUUCUUUUGUUUGCACUUGCAAACACAGCAAUCCCUGAUUUUUUUUGUUUGCAUUUAUAAUCAUAUUCCUCUGCAGUUACAUGAAAUAGCUCAUCCAGGUAUAAAGCUUUGUAUUUUGAAAGGUUUGAAGUAGGUAUUGAAGUUUGCUGUAUGUCUUACAAAUUUCCAAAAAUGCUUUUUAUGUUUCUAUGGUAAAACACAAUGUCUAAGGCAGCUUAUAAAAGAGGUUAAUUUGGCUUAUCCAAAAUAGGUAUAAGCGGCAGAUAGAGGGAGAGAGAUGGAAGGAAUGUGGGAUUCAGAGGACAGGAGAGAUGGCUAGAUGGUCAGGAAAAUGUGCCCCAGACCACCCCAGCCGGUAUAGGGGUCCCUGGGAUGUGGGUUCUCAAGGUCAGGUGGGUAAGGAUUAGGUGGUGACAAACAGAAAACAAACACAGAGGCAGUUUGAAUCUGAGUGUAUUUUACAGCUCUCAAUCAAGGGGUUUUAUACAUAGAGAAACAGGUGUUACAGCUCGGAAAAGCUUUGUUCAGUGAAGCAGCAAAAUAGAACAGAUAUAACAAUAAUCAUUUGGUACAUCAAAAUACAAAAUUAUCCAAGUCUUAUAACUUCAAAAAAAAGUGUUUUCAGUAAAACAUCCAGGUAGAACGAAUAUUGUUAUGAUCAUUUAGUACAUCAAAAUACAAAAAUCAUCUAAGGCUAGUGGCAAAUUCCCAAAAAUAAGCUAAUGAAUUUUUUUUAUGAUUACUAUUUAACCUCUAGUUCUUGUACU